GAUGAACGCUAGCUACAGGCUUAACACAUGCAAGUCGAGGGGAAACGACAUUGAAAGCUUGCUUUUGGUGGGCGUCGACCGGCGCACGGGUGAGUAACGCGUAUCCAACCUGCCCACCACUUGGGGAUAACCUUGCGAAAGUAAGACUAAUACCCAAUGAUAUCCCACGAAGGCAUCCGAAUGGGAUUAAAGAUUUAUCGGUGAUGGAUGGGGAUGCGUCUGAUUAGCUUGUUGGCGGGGUAACGGCCCACCAAGGCAACGAUCAGUAGGGGUUCUGAGAGGAAGGUCCCCCACAUUGGAACUGAGACACGGUCCAAACUCCUACGGGAGGCAGCAGUGAGGAAUAUUGGUCAAUGGGCGAGAGCCUGAACCAGCCAAGUAGCGUGCAGGACGACGGCCCUAUGGGUUGUAAACUGCUUUUAUAAGGGAAUAAAGUGGGUCACGUGUGACUUUUUGCAUGUACCUUAUGAAUAAGGACCGGCUAAUUCCGUG
This 492-nucleotide ribosomal RNA is filed under the name uncultured bacterium. RNAcentral's name for it is "bacterial SSU rRNA". It matches the Rfam family "Bacterial small subunit ribosomal RNA", at positions 28 to 507 of the family's 1533-position model. The record is from RNAcentral.